GCCCCAGGCUCUGAAGGAAAGGCACCCACUGGGACUUUAGAGCCGCCCCUCCUGUCCAGGCUGAGGAGACCAAUCUGGAAUCUCCAACUGCUGCCUCUCAGACAUGUAGAAGGUGAGGUCCCUCAAGGCAUCUUACACUCAGCAAAUCCAAAACCAAACUCAUUCUCUUUUCCUCCAAACCACUUGGAGGAAGGCACCACCAACCCCCCCACCCCACCCCGACAUCAGAGGGCAACACCAGCCCCACAAGACACCAGAGGAUACUGCACCACCAGCCCCCCAGGCACUGGAGGGCACCAUCAGCCCCCCAGGCACUGGAGGGCACCACCAGCCCCCCAAAACACCAGAGGGUACUGCACCACCAGCCCCCCAGGCACUGAAGGGCACCAUCAGCCCCCAAAACACCAGAGGGUACUGCACCACCAGCCCCCCAGGCACUGGAGGGCACCACCAGCCCCCCAAAACACCAGAGGGUACUGCACCACCAGCCCCAGAAAACACCAGAGGGUACUGCACCACCAGCCCCCCAGGCACUGGAGAGCACCACCAGCCCCCCAAGACACCAGAGGGUACCACACCACCAGCCCCCCAGGCACUGGAGAGCACCACCAGCCCCCCAAGACACCAGAGGGUACCGCACCACCAGCCCCCCAGGCACUGGAGAGCACCACCAGCCCCCCAAAACACCAGAGGGUACCGCACCACCAGCCCCCCAGGCACUGGAGAGCACCACCAGCCCCCCAAGACACCAGAGGGUACUGCACCACCAGCCCCACAGGCACUGGAGAGCACCACCAGCCCCCCAAAACACCAGAGGGUACCACACCACCAGCCCCCCAGGCACUGGAGGGCACCAUCAGCCCCCCAAAACACCAGAGGGCACCAUCAGCCCCCCAGGCACUGGAAGGCACCACCAGCCCCCAAGACACCAGAGGGUACCACCAGCCCCCCAAAAUACCAGAGGGUACUACACCACCAGCCCCCCAGGCACUGGAGAGCACCAUCAGCCCCCCAAAACACCAGAGGGCACCAUCAGCCCCCCAGGCACUGGAAGGCACCACCAGCCCCCAAGACACCAGAGGGUACCACCAGCCCCCCAAAAUACCAGAGGGUACUACACCACCAGCCCCCCAGGCACUGGAGAGCACCAUCAGCCCCCCAAGACACCAGAGGGUACCACACCACCAGCCCCCCAAAACACCAGAAGGCACCACCAGCCCCCCCCUAGGCACCAGAGGGCACCAACAGUCACCCCCAGCCACUGGAGAGCACCACCAGCCUAUACGAACAGAAAACCAUGCAAAGGAGAAAGCUUCAGGGCUGCAGUGGCUUCCGUAA
This 1338-nucleotide long non-coding RNA is filed under the name Monodelphis domestica (gray short-tailed opossum). RNAcentral describes it as "lncRNA (ENSMODG00000041776.1)". Lineage: Eukaryota; Metazoa; Chordata; Mammalia; Didelphimorphia; Didelphidae. The record is from RNAcentral.